GAUGAAGAACGCAGCGAAAUGCGAUAAGUAAUGUGAAUUGCAGAAUUCAGUGAAUCAUCGAAUCUUUGAACGCACAUUGCGCCCCUUGGUAUUCCGAGGGGCAUGCCUGUUCGAGCGUCAUUAUAACCCCUCAAGCUCAGCUUGGUGUUGGGGCCUGCCGCACGGGCAGCCCUUAAAAUCAGUGGCGGUGCUAUCUGGCUCUAAGCGUAGUAAUUCUUCUCGCUAUAGAGUCCCGGUGGAUGCUUGCCAUUAACCCCCAAUUUUCUAUGGUUGACCUCGGAUCAGGUUGGGAUACCCGCUGAACUUAAGCAUAUCAAUAAGCGGAGGA
Molecule: unclassified non-coding RNA, 328 nt
Filed under: soil metagenome
Description: partial contains 5.8S ribosomal RNA, internal transcribed spacer 2, and large subunit ribosomal RNA
Rfam family: 5.8S ribosomal RNA (bases 1-120)
Source: RNAcentral